RNAcentral lists this long non-coding RNA (1791 nucleotides) under Anser cygnoides (Swan goose). RNAcentral's name for it is "lncRNA (ENSACDG00005007524.1)". Lineage: Eukaryota; Metazoa; Chordata; Aves; Anseriformes; Anatidae. The record is from RNAcentral.
AUGGUGCCGAGCAUCACCCUCGUAGCACCGAGCACCAUCCCCAAGCAGGGAGUUGCAGCAGCACCAAGGGUGCUCGGGGUGAGGCCAGAGAGGUUGGCCAGGAGCAGGCAGGGAUUUGGGUGGCCCCGUGCACAACUGCUGCUCUCUCUUCUCGUCCUCCCUUGCAUCAUGUUUACAUGCUUUGAGCCAAAGGGGCAUGAAAAUGGAGUACAGCCCCGAGCAGAGGGCACACGUGGGGCUGCAGAGUGGCUGGGUGACAGUGAGGCUCCAUCAUCUUCAUGGCAGCGCUUAUCUGCUCAAGACUCAGCGGGGAAGAGGUGCCCAGUCCCAUCCAGGUGGAGGAGAGGAGACGGGGNNNNNNNNNNNNNNNNNNNNUCCUUGUGGCUGCUGCUGCGGGGGCAGCGGAGCCUCAGCGCCGUGCCACCUGCCGAGCAGCUGCUGCCAGAGCGGGCAAAGUCUGCGGCGCGACCUUCAGCCCCCACCUGCCACCUCUCCCGCUGGCCCCGCUGCUUGGCAGCCACCCCACCGUGUCAGGUCCCUCGCCAGCACUGCCAGCUAAGCAUCACGGUGCCGAGCAUCACCCCCGCAGCACCGAGCACCAUCCCCAAGCAGGGAGUUGCAGCAGCACCAAGGGUGCUCGGGGUGAGGCCAGAGAGGUUGGCCAGGAGCAGGCAGGGAUUUGGGUGGCCCCGUGCACAACUGCUGCUCUCUCUUCUCGUCCUCCCUUGCAUCAUGUUUACACGCUUCGAGCCAAAGGGGCAUGAAAAUGGGGUACAGCCCCGAGCAGAGGGCACACGUGGGGCUGCAGAGUGGCUGGGUGACAGUGAGGCUCCAUCAUCUUCAUGGCAGCGCUUAUCUGCUCAAGACUCAGCAGGGAAGAGGUGCCCAGUCCCGUCCAGGUGGAGGAGAGGAGACGGGGGCUGUGGCGGGGCUGUCCUGGUGCCCCCGGCUCAGCCAGCCCCAGGCUGUGGGAACGGCGCCGUGGCUGCCCCGGCUUGCAUCUCUCCAGCCACGCCACUGUCUGCAGCAUUUCACAUUGAUUAUAAUUCAUGGUUCUGGUUGUGUUUCUUUUGUCCUUUUAACAACAUUUGCUGCCUGGGAGAGGAGAAGCAAGGAACUCCUCCAACCGGAGCUUGCACCGCACCAGGGCCAGAGGGAUGCAGUGCAGCACCCCACUGCCCACAGCCCCCAGUGCUUGCAACUGCCCUGGAGCUGCACCCAAAUUGGGAAAAGCCUUUGUGCCAUGGGCUCGUGCUGCAGACAGCACUCUCCAUGCCGGGGUUUCCCAAGCUCACCACCCAGAUCCCAGAGGGCUUCAGCCACCCCAAAAUCCCCAGUGUGCCUUCUUGGGGAGCCACCACCUGGGUUGAGCUGUGCCCAGGGACUUGCUGUCUCUUUGCACUGGUGUGGCUGGUGUGGCACGGCACGGCACGGCAGCGUGCAUCCCAAAGGGCUGGUCUCUCCGCUCCAGUCAGGCAAAGCAAACAGGCAGGCUAUGCCCACAGCAAACAGCGCCAGCCACGACGGAAAUCUCCUCCGAGCCCAGAGCAAACGCGGCGCCCAGCAUCUGCGCUGCAGGAGCAGCCCAUGACGGAUGCUCUCCCGGUAAUUAAAAUACACGCCAGGGCGUUCGGCCACUGCCAGCCCAAUUAUUCACAUGCCAGCCUCCCCAGGAGAGGCAGCGCUCAUCUGCCCCAAAGCUCGUGGCUGGUGCUCAUCUCCCCACGCCUUUGGGGCCGUGCGGGUCCCCGGGGUGCAGGCAGAGCCACAGGGGCAGCUCGGCAGCGCUGA